AGCAGCCGCGGUAAUUCCAGCUCCAAUAGCGUAUAUUAAAGUUGUUGCAGUUAAAAAGCUCGUAGUUGAAUUUCGGGGUUAGUAGGUUGGUCAUGCCUCUGGUAUGUACUGGUCUCACUGAUUCCUCCUUCCUGAUGAACCUUAAUGCCAUUAAUUUGGUGUUUUGGGGAAUUUGGACUGUUACUUUGAAAAAAUUAGAGUGUUUAAAGCAAGCUAACGCUUGAAUACAUUAGCAUGGAAUAAUGAAAUAGGACGUUCGAUCCUAUUUUGUUGGUUUCUAGGAUUGACGUAAUGAUUAAUAGGGAUAGUUGGGGGCAUUAGUAUUCAAUUGUCAGAGGUGAAAUUCUUGGAUUUAUUGAAGACUAACUACUGCGAAAGCAUUUGCCAAGGAUGUUUUCAUUAAUCAAGAACGAAAGUUAGGGGAUCGAAGACGAUCAGAUACCGUCGUAGUCUUAACCAUAAACCUAUGCCGAC
This 474-nucleotide unclassified non-coding RNA is filed under the name uncultured Archaeospora. RNAcentral describes it as "SSU rRNA". It matches the Rfam family "Eukaryotic small subunit ribosomal RNA", at positions 569 to 1046 of the family's 1831-position model. Lineage: Eukaryota; Fungi; Glomeromycota; Glomeromycetes; Archaeosporales; Archaeosporaceae. The record is from RNAcentral.